AACGCGAAGAACCUUACCUGGGUUUGACAUGGCCGCAAAACUGUCAGAGAUGGCAGGUCCUUCGGGGGCGGUCACAGGUGGUGCAUGGCUGUCGUCAGCUCGUGUCGUGAGAUGUUGGGUUAAGUCCCGCAACGAGCGCAACCCUCGUUCGAUGUUGCCAGCGCGUUAUGGCGGGGACUCAUCGAAGACUGCCGGGGUCAACUCGGAGGAAGGUGGGGAUGACGUCAAGUCAUCAUGCCCCUUAUGUCCAGGGCUUCACGCAUGCUACAAUGGCCGGUACAAUGGGCUGCGAUACCGUGAGGUGGAGCGAAUCCCAAAAAGCCGGUCUCAGUUCGGAUCGGGGUCUGCAACUCGACCCCGUGAAGUCGGAGUCGCUAGUAAUCGCAGAUCAGCAACGCUGCGGUGAAUACGUUCCCGGGCCUUGUACACACCG
This 433-nucleotide ribosomal RNA is filed under the name uncultured bacterium. RNAcentral's name for it is "bacterial SSU rRNA". It matches the Rfam family "Bacterial small subunit ribosomal RNA", at positions 958 to 1392 of the family's 1533-position model. The record is from RNAcentral.